This 1062-nucleotide ribosomal RNA is filed under the name Triticum aestivum (bread wheat). RNAcentral's name for it is "partial small subunit ribosomal RNA". Lineage: Eukaryota; Viridiplantae; Streptophyta; Magnoliopsida; Poales; Poaceae. The record is from RNAcentral.
AUGAACAUUGCUCUCCUGACCCGAUGGCUAUGGCGUAUUGCCAACAGGGAGGGCGGCCUCUGGCUUACCAUCAUUCAGAAUAAGUACCUCCGGGGACAACCUCUUGCUUUCUGCCAGCGCUCUGGGGGAUCCCAGUUCUGGCAGGCUGUGAUUCAGCUCCUUCCCGUGCUCCGGAUUGGCACUUCCAUCUCGGUGGGUUCCGGGUCCUCGACCCUAUUUUGGUUCGACCGCUGGCUUGGGUAUUCCCCUCUGGCCGCCCGCUUCCCGGGCUUAUUUGCCAUUGCGGCAGACCCCCGAAUUUCCGUCGAGACGGCCCUUAUUGACCUAACGCGCCUCGCCUUUCGGCGCUCCUUUGGCCCCCAGGAGGUUGUCGCGUGGGACGCCCUUCUACAGGACAUCACUCUCUUGCCAAUGGAUGUAGAGGGCGUCGCCGACUCCAUGGCGUGGCACCUGGAGCCCUCGGGAAGCUUCUCCACGAAGUCUUUGUAUGCUGCCAUCGCCCCUUCGCUGGCCCAUGAGCCCUUUAGCCUGAUCUGGGACAUUCGUCUCCCCCUCAAGAUCCGGAUAUUCCUCUGGCAGUGGAUCCGGGGACGUCUCCCCUCUGGGGUGGAAGUCCGCAAGCGCAAUGGCCCUGGGGACGGGAUGUGUCCCCUGUGCGCCACAGUGGAGGAUUCGAACCACAUUUUCUUCAACUUCUCCACUGCCCAGUUCUUGUGGUCGUGCUUCCGUGAAACUGUCGGCGGACAGUGGUGCAAUACCAACUUCCCUGACCUACUCGCGGAGAUCCAUGCCUCCUCCCCGCGUUACCGCCAUAUUAGAUGGCUGUGCAUUUGGAUCCUAGCAUGGACGCUUUGGAAUAUUUGCAACAAGCUCGUUAUUCAGAAAGUGCCUCUGCGACGCGCGACAGACGCGAUCUUCAAAAUGUGUGGCUAUUUGCAGCUUUGGCGGCCGCUUAGCCGCCCUCAGGACCGGAGCGUCAUCGACACCCUCCUCACCGACCUUCGAUCGAUGGCCUUCCGCAUGGCGCCCCCGCUUCCGCCACCGCCGCCGGAGCCUGAUUAG